This 1597-nucleotide long non-coding RNA is filed under the name Cottoperca gobio. RNAcentral describes it as "lncRNA (ENSCGOG00000015798.1)". Lineage: Eukaryota; Metazoa; Chordata; Actinopteri; Perciformes; Bovichtidae. The record is from RNAcentral.
AUGAGAUCACAUCGGGCUCAGAUUUCCCCGGGGAAACUCUCGUGUCACGCAGAGGAAAAUAUUAAAAAACACUCGGACCACGCACGCCUGCUCACGAUGCAACAAUAUUUCCUGUUUGCCCAGAUUGGCAACUCCAACCCCCUGCCGGUGCCCGUGGGAAACCCCGCCAGCGGAGUGGUGGUGGAGAGCGGGCCGGUCGUCUACGAUGAUGCAGCUGGAGAAGAGGAAGACGAGGACGAAGAGGAGGCGUGUGUCAGCGCCAUGGACCUGUUGGGCAGCAACGAUUAUGGCAGUGACGGAGGAGAUUACGACGAUUGAUACCGGUCUUCCCUGGGUUAUUAUGCCGAACUAUUACCGACAGUUUUAAGUGUAUCAAAUGUUUUUCUACCGGGGACACAAAGUGGCUGCCGAGAGGAACCCCCGCCACGUGUGAGAGCAAGGGAAACAAAAAUCGCACUCCUCGUCCCACUUGGAGUCUCAAACUGGGAGCACGCGCAGCUGGGAGGCUGAAGACGGUGAAACGAGGGACGCAGGUAUAUUAAUCAUUGUGUGUCACAGGACACCUGUCACGGUAACGCAUCAGGAUCAAACGUUUGUUGAGGUCAGAAGACAUUCAGGUUAUUAACAGCAUUUAAAAGACUUUAUUUAAAUGUAAGGAUCUACUUCACACUGAAAUCUAGUUAUUUAAAUGCUGCUGACGCUAACAAACAUCACUUCUAACUUCUAAUGUCGUGCAAAACACCAAAGCAGUGAUUACGGAGCAGCAUUAAUCAGGACGGUUGUUUUUAUUGAGGUUUAAUGUAGCAAAAAGAAACGUAUUCUCCUCUAACUCGCACUUUGCAUUCAUGACACUUGAACGCUUCCUGAUGACUAAUGCUUCUCAAAGCUAGUAUCCUAACAACGACGUGCACUUGAUGCAUCCAACAAUCAGGUAACGUGAGAUCUUUAACCCGCCUCACUGCCCAGAUGUUGUGUUUAUUAACGCCUCAGUGCUGAGCGGAGCGCCGUCCGCUCUGCUCCACGUGUUACAAUAAUGUUGCCUUUAAACAAUUUAAGCAGGUUUGCUGAGAAGUUAUUGAAUCCCAGAUCCUUUCAGAUGAAGUUAGCGUUGGGGAUUGUGAUGGUUUGGUUAUUUUUAAGGUUUUCCUCUUAUGAUUUAAUUUGAGUGUCCUUUUGAUUUGUGUUAAAUAUUGUUCACGGGCCACGGAGGCGUUUAAAGCCAGGAUGUAAAUACAUUCUCUGCAAUAUUAUAUUUUCCAAAUAAGUGAGGAGAACCCGAUCAGAGAAAAGAUCUAUUUUGUAUUUAAGAUUUUAUGAUUUUUGUGUUGGAAAAUGAAAUGUGAGGCCUUUUCACUGUGUCUCUGUUCACCUCCGCUGCCUGCUGCUACAAGUCGUGAUGUUACAUCUGCACCUGCUGCUACAGUAAAGAAAUCACUCAAUGGAAAAGAAAUGGCUUCUUUGUUUCUUUUUUGUGUCGCGUCAUUAUGUGUGAAACCUUCGUGUUGUUGACGUUUACUUCCUGUUUUGCUCCCCCAUCAAUGGAAUUGUCCCAAUUCAGUCGAUAUAGAAAUACAAGUACGUUUUUAAUAUUGAAAGA